AACGCACAUUGCGCCCCUUGGUAUUCCGGGGGGCAUGCCUGUUCGAGCGUCAUUACACCCCUCAAGCCUCGCUUGGUGUUGGGGAUCGCGGUUCGUCCGCGUCCUCCGAAUUGACCGGCUGGCCGUAUCGUCUCUCAGCGUUGUGCAAACUCUCGCUCACAGAGUCCGGUGCGGUUUCACGCCGUUAAACCCUCAUCAAAGGUUGACCUCGGAUCAGGUAGGGAUACCCGCUGAACUUAA
This 240-nucleotide unclassified non-coding RNA is filed under the name Hyaloscypha sp. RNAcentral's name for it is "partial contains 5.8S ribosomal RNA, internal transcribed spacer 2, and large subunit ribosomal RNA". The record is from RNAcentral. RNAcentral also lists the same sequence under 1 other name. Lineage: Eukaryota; Fungi; Ascomycota; Leotiomycetes; Helotiales; Hyaloscyphaceae.